GUAGUUACUUCUGGAAAAUGGGUUCUGGAGAAUAGGUUAUGAGACAAAGUGAUACAAAAAUUUGCAGGCUGAUGUAAGACCUGCUAGUACUUUCUUCUUCUACCACAACAAUCACAUACUGAGAUGGUGAAAUCACAAGGCUGAGGCAGCCUGAAUUACCGGGUCCCCUUAUGGACAGCAGUUGAGCUGGAGAGCUGCCUGGUCCCACUGGAUACUUUGUGGGAUUUGAGGAUUGUGUAUUAAAGUAGCAUAACAUACCCUGUUUUGUCUAAUGCAGGCCUCAGGUGGAAACAAGUUUUAUGGGUUACAAGAAGAGAUAGAAGACUAGGAUAGGAGCAGAGUGAACACAGGAGAGAUUGUCAGAAGCCAGAUUAUGUAGGCAUCGUACACCAAGCUCAUUGUGUUGAGCCAUAUGCCAUGUGCUGAUUGAUGAGGACUGCUUUUUAGGAGAACUGGCUUAUCAUAU
Molecule: long non-coding RNA, 466 nt
Filed under: Homo sapiens (human)
Lineage: Eukaryota; Metazoa; Chordata; Mammalia; Primates; Hominidae
Description: HSALNT0218695
Source: RNAcentral